This 254-nucleotide ribosomal RNA is filed under the name uncultured bacterium. Its description in RNAcentral is "partial 16S ribosomal RNA". It matches the Rfam family "Bacterial small subunit ribosomal RNA", at positions 524 to 776 of the family's 1533-position model. The record is from RNAcentral.
UACGUAGGGGCCAAGCGUUGUCCGGAUUUAUUGGGCGUAAAGAGCUCGUAGGCGGUUGGGUAAGUCGGGUGUGAAAACUCCAGGCUCAACUUGGAGAUGCCACCCGAUACUGCUCUGACUAGAGUCCGGAAGAGGCAAGUGGAAUUCCCGGUGUAGCGGUGAAAUGCGCAGAUAUCGGGAGGAACACCAAUGGCGAAGGCAGCUUGCUGGGACGGUACUGACGCUGAGGCGCGAAAGCUAGGGGAGCAAACGGG